RNAcentral lists this ribosomal RNA (253 nucleotides) under uncultured bacterium. RNAcentral describes it as "partial 16S ribosomal RNA". It matches the Rfam family "Bacterial small subunit ribosomal RNA", at positions 524 to 776 of the family's 1533-position model. The record is from RNAcentral.
UACGUAGGGGGCUAGCGUUGUCCGGAUGUAUUGGGCGUAAAGAGCUUGUAGGCGGUCUGUCGCGUCUGCUGUGAAAAUCCGGGGCUCAACCCCGGACUUGCAGUGGGUACGGGCAGACUAGAGUGUGGUAGGGGAGACUGGAAUUCCUGGUGUAGCGGUGAAAUGCGCAGAUAUCAGGAGGAACACCGAUGGCGAAGGCAGGUCUCUGGGCCACUACUGACGCUGAGAAGCGAAAGCAUGGGGAGCGAACAGG